This 495-nucleotide ribosomal RNA is filed under the name uncultured bacterium. Its description in RNAcentral is "partial 16S ribosomal RNA". It matches the Rfam family "Bacterial small subunit ribosomal RNA", at positions 28 to 507 of the family's 1533-position model. The record is from RNAcentral.
GACGAACGCUGGCGGCGUGCCUAAUACAUGCAAGUCGAACGCUGAAGGAGGAGCUUGCUCUUCUGGAUGAUUUGCGAACGGGUGAGUAACGCGUAGGUAACCUGCCUGGUAGCGGGGGAUAACUAUUGGAAACGAUAGCUAAUAUCGCAUAGUAGUAGAUGUUGCAUGAUAUUUACUUAAAAGGUGCAGUUUUACCGCUACCAGAUGGACCUGCGUUGUAUUAGCUAGUUGGUGGGGUAACGGCUCACCAAGGCGACGAUACAUAGCCGGCCUGAGAGGGGGAUCCGCCCAAAUGGGAAUGAGACAACGCCCAGAAUUCCUCGGGAGGGAGCAGUAGGGGAACUUCGGGCAAGGACGAAAGUCUUACCGAGGCAAGGCGCGGGAGUGAAUAAGGGUCUCGGAUCGGAAAGCUCUGUUGUUAGGGAAGAAAGAGUGUGAGAGUGGAAAGUUCACACUGUGACGGUACCUAAUCAGAAAGGGACGGCUAACUACGUG